RNAcentral lists this ribosomal RNA (290 nucleotides) under uncultured bacterium. RNAcentral describes it as "partial 16S ribosomal RNA". It matches the Rfam family "Bacterial small subunit ribosomal RNA", at positions 333 to 640 of the family's 1533-position model. The record is from RNAcentral.
GUUGUCCUACGGGACGCAGCAGUGGGGAAUAUUGCACAAUGGGGGAAACCCUGAUGCAGCGACGCCGCGUGAGUGAAGAAGUAUUUCGGUAUGUAAAGCUCUAUCAGCAGGGAAGAAAAUGACGGUACCUGAUUAAGAAGCCCCGGCUAACUACGUGCCAGCAGCCGCGGUAAUACGUAGGGGGCAAGCGUUAUCCGGAUUUACUGGGUGUAAAGGGAGCGUAGACGGUGAUGCAAGUCAGAAGUGAAAGCCCGGGGCUCAACUCCGGGACUGCUUUUGAAACUGUGUAA